AUUUACAACCAUUCCACCCUGAACAUCCCAAUGCUGUCUGAUCUUGGAAGCUAAACAGGGUCUGGCCUGGUUAAUAGUUAGAUGGGAGGUUGCCUGGGAAUACGAGGUACUGUAGGUU
This 118-nucleotide ribosomal RNA is filed under the name Aotus nancymaae (Ma's night monkey). Lineage: Eukaryota; Metazoa; Chordata; Mammalia; Primates; Aotidae. The record is from RNAcentral.